Molecule: ribosomal RNA, 114 nt
Filed under: Crocinitomicaceae bacterium
Lineage: Bacteria; Pseudomonadati; Bacteroidota; Flavobacteriia; Flavobacteriales; Crocinitomicaceae
Source: RNAcentral
UUGGGUGUCUAUGGCGGUUGGGUCCACCUCUUACCAUUCCGAACAGAGAAGUUAAGCCAACUUGCGCAGAUGGUACUGCCCUUUUGAGGGUGGGAGAGUAUGUUGAUGCCACUU